RNAcentral lists this long non-coding RNA (3915 nucleotides) under Coffea arabica (coffee). RNAcentral describes it as "long non-coding RNA (CARA_LNC006112)". The record is from RNAcentral. Lineage: Eukaryota; Viridiplantae; Streptophyta; Magnoliopsida; Gentianales; Rubiaceae.
AGCUGUCAGACCGGUGACUGUGGUGGACUUCUUCAGUGCACUGCCUACGGUGCACCACCAAAUACUCUAGCAGAAUUUGCAUUGAACCAGUUCAGUAACCUGGACUUCUUCGACAUUUCCCUUGUUGAUGGCUUCAAUGUGCCGAUGGAUUUCAGCCCUACAUCCAAUGGCUGCACCCGGGGCAUCAGCUGCACAGCCGACAUAAAUGGGCAGUGCCCAAGUGUGCUUAAAGCUCCAGGAGGUUGCAACAAUCCAUGCACUGUUUUCAAGACUGAUCAGUACUGCUGCAACUCAGGCAGCUGCAGUCCGACUGACUAUUCCAAGUUCUUCAAGGAUAGGUGCCCAGAUGCAUACAGCUACCCGAAAGAUGACCAGACUAGCACUUUCACGUGCCCUGCAGGAACCAACUAUAGGGUUGUCUUUUGCCCUUAGGCCAAUACCAAGGAUCCUAAAAAUUCUCUCGUUGCUUCCGACAUAGUCAAAUAUAGUGCCAGAUGCUAAAUAACAUGUUGCAACAGCACAUGUAGUGAUGUGCAAAUGCAUCUUUCUUUUAAGUUCAAACAAAUAUACAGUUGUAUUGAGAUUGGGUUUAAGGAAUAGUUAUCAAUGCACGUUGAUGAAUAAAACUUAACUAUCCCUUAUAGUAAUAUAGCUGAAUGCAUGAUCUCUUCCUACGUAAUUUGGGCCAAACCCUUGGAUUUCUACAAGCAUGACGGUGCAACGAUGUUAUUCACUCCUCUUCCUUCUUCCUUUUUCUUUUCUUUCACCUCCGAGAAGUUGCAUGGGAAGGCUAAGUCCGCAUGUAAUAUUGUACGUAAUUGGUUUUUUUUUUUUUUCUUUUGGGAAUCCUAAAAAAAAAAACCUUUGCAUCCCAAGAAAAGAAAUUCUACCAUCCAUUAUAUCUUUGUUACCCAAAAAAAAAAGGGGGGGGGGGGGCAGCCUUUGGCAUUUAGAAGUCCAUUUGAUACCUUUUUCGCUUAAACAAGGAUAUCGUCUAAAGGUAAUCAAAUUCGAUGGCUAUCCUUCUCUUUUUUAAUUUUUUUUAAAAAUUUUAAAAGAGACUUCAAAUCUUCUUCAAUGGAAAAUGAAGAAAACAAGAAAGGGGAAGAUUGGAGUUAGCAAGGCGCAUUAAUUUGUGCCUACAUUAAUUAAUUUGUUAAUGACCGUGUUGGGUCUUGGGACAUUUCUUUUAAGUAUUUUCUUUUGCUGCUCCUAAGAUCUCGACCAAAAAAAAAAAAAAAAAAAAUAUAUAUAUAUAUAUAUAUAUAUACGUUUUAUGCUAUUGACACACACAAAUCCGGUCCAAGACCGUUUAAUCCAGUUAGAUGCUCCUCACAGUUAAUGCGAGGACCGGUUGGCUACUGGGCCUAAAUGUCCACCAAGUCUCAAUUAAUGACUUUCUGCCAUCAGCGACGCUGACGACCAACUCGUGUGCUAAUUUUUGGACUCAAUUCCUGUAUUGGGUUUGUUUGUUUAGAUCCACAAUACGUAACAAUUAUUUCAGAAACAUUCUAGACUUUUCUUCCUAUGGUUUUUUGAUGUUACGUCACAUGAGGACUUUUCUCAGUCAAUCAUUCUAGUCUGCAACUCCAUGGAAGCAGCUGAAUGGGGGACAUCUAAUCUUCCUAAAUUCUACCAGGAAAAUACUAUAGUAGUAAUUACUACGUAGUAGUAAUAACACAAAAGUCAAGAAAACUGCAUCCUCCCUCCCUCUCCAUGGUUGAUUAUUGCCAUGAGAUUCCUCAACUUUCUCCUUAUUUCUACGGUUCUAACAAUCACCCUCCUCACAACCUCCACUCAGGCGGCCACUUUUGAGAUCCAAAACAACUGUGCCUACACGGUUUGGGCUGCUGCCACUCCCGGCGGCGGCCGGAGGCUUACUACUGGCCAAACAUGGACUGUCAACGUGGCAGCAACCACCGCAGGUCAAACUGGUCGUAUAUGGGCUAGAACCAACUGUACCUUCAACUCAAACGGCACCGGCAGCUGUCAAACGGGUGACUGCGGGGGACUUCUUAGGUGCGCAGUCGACGGUGUUCAUGCACCCCCAGUUACUCUAGCUGAAUACUCGUUGAACGGGUUUAAUAACCAAGACUUCCUCGACAUCUCCCUUCUUUAUGGCUUCAAUGUGCCAAUGGAGUUCAGUCGUCCAUCCAUUGGCUGCACCGGCGGCAUCAGGUGCGCCGCCGACAUAAAAGGACAGUGCCCGCCUAAGCUUAGAGCUCCCGGCGGUUGCAACAAUCCUUGUACCGUAUUCAAUACUGGUGGAUACUGUUGCACCUCUAGCCUCACAUGUGAACGGACCUACCUCGCCAGAUUUUUUAAGGAUAUGUGCCCAAAUGCAUUGAGUUACCCAACAGAUGACCAGAGUAGUAUAUAUACUUGCCCUGCAGGCGGCACCUAUGGGGUAGUCUUUUGCCCUUAGUAGAGCCGAACUACUUAGAGGCACUUGUAAGUCGUUAAGUACCAACACUCUGUAAUAGUUCAAUCAAGUGUUUAUCAUCAUCAGGAGAUUUUAGUGCCCUUCAUUCGAAUAUGGUGUGCUCAAAUUAAAUGAUAUAGCACUUUCACUUGCCCUGAAGGAACCAACUAUAGGGUUGUCUCUUGCCCUUAGACCAAUACCAAAGAUCCAAGUAAAAAUUCUUGCUACACAGUCAAAUAUGGUAUCGCAUGGGUUUGUUUGAACAGAGGAUUAUUUGAAGUAUCAUUUAAAAUAAUUACUGUAACACUUUUUGUAACGUGAUAUAUGUGAGAUAAAAAAAUGAUUAAAAAUAUAAAAAAAUAGAUUGAAAAUGUAUUUAUGAUAUAAGCUAAAUAUUAUUUGAAAUAAUUACUGUAGUAUUAUUUUUUGUAAUGUGAUAUAUACAAAAUAAAAAAUAAUUAAAAAUAUAAAAAAAUAGAUUAAAAAUAUAUUUAUAAUAUAAAUUAAAUAUUAUUUAGAAUAAUUUGCUAUCUAAACACUCCCGUCUAUGUUGCAAGCAGCACAUCAUGUAGUGAUGCACAAAUACAUCUCUAAGAUCAAAUAGACAGUUGGAUUGACUUUUGAGUUUAACGAAUGGUACUUAUCAAUGCGCGUUCAUAAAUAAAUUCUACAGUCCCUUAAUACGGGUGAACACAUAAUUGGUUAAUUCGUUUAGAUUUCAAUUUUCUUGGCAUACCUAGGCAAAAAAAAAAAAAAAAAAAAAGAAAUUCUAGCAUCCUUGAUAUGAUUGUUUCCAAAAAAAAAAAAAAAAAAAAAAAUCCUUGGCAAGUUAGAAGAUUCAUUAUUGAUACUUCUCUCAUUAUAUAUAUAUAUAUAUAUAUUGAUGUAACUUCGUAUGAUGACUUUUCUAGGUCAAUCAUUCCAGUCUGUGACCGUGUACAUCUAUCUCCCUAGUGCUACGCCGACCAGGAAAAGAUUGACUAGUAUUUAAUACUAGUAAUAGCAAUAAAUCAAGAAAACUGGCUCCAUGGUUGAUUGCUGUGCUGCCAUGAGAUUCCUCAAAUUUCUCCUUACCUCUACGGUUCUAAUAAUCACCCUCCUCUCAACCUCCACUGAGGCGGCCACUUUUGAGAUCCAAAACAAUUGUCCCUACACAGUCUGGGCUGCAGCGAAACCUGGCGGUGGUCGAAGGCUAGACCGAGGCCAAACAUGGACCAUCAACGUGGCAGCCGGCACAGCCGGAGGUCGCGUUUGGGGUAGGACAAACUGCAACUUUGAUGGCAGUGGCCACGGCAGCUGUCAGACCGGUGACUGUGGUGGACUUCUUCAAUGCACUGCCUACGGUGCACCACCAAAUACUCUAGCAGAAUACGCACUGAACCAGUUCAAUAACCUGGACUUCUUCGACAUUUCCCUUGUUGAUGGCUUCAAUGUGCCGAUGGAGUUUAGUCGUCCAUCCACUGGAUGCACCGGCGGCAUCAGGUGCGCCGCCG